GGACCUGUAGCUCAGUUGGCUAGAGCACUUCCUCGACACGGAAGGGGUCGCUGGUUCGAGUCCAGUCAGGUCCACCA
RNAcentral lists this transfer RNA (77 nucleotides) under Acidobacteriota bacterium. RNAcentral's name for it is "Acidobacteria bacterium (mine drainage metagenome) tRNA-Val". It matches the Rfam family "tRNA". From Rfam's summary of the family: Transfer RNA (tRNA) molecules are approximately 80 nucleotides in length. Their secondary structure includes four short double-helical elements and three loops (D, anti-codon, and T loops). Further hydrogen bonds mediate the characteristic L-shaped molecular structure. tRNAs have two regions of fundamental functional importance: the anti-codon, which is responsible for specific mRNA codon recognition, and the 3' end, to which the tRNAs corresponding amino acid is attached (by aminoacyl-tRNA synthetases). tRNAs cope with the degeneracy of the genetic code in two manners: having more than one tRNA (with a specific anti-codon) for a particular amino acid; and 'wobble' base-pairing, i.e. permitting non-standard base-pairing at the 3rd anti-codon position. Lineage: Bacteria; Pseudomonadati; Acidobacteriota. RNAcentral also lists the same sequence under 1 other name. The record is from RNAcentral.